CGUAGCCGACCUGAGAGGGUAAUCGGCCACAUUGGGACUGAGACACGGCCCAAACUCCUACGGGAGGCAGCAGUAGGGAAUCUUCCACAAUGGACGAAAGUCUGAUGGAGCAAUGCCGCGUGAGUGAAGAAGGGUUUCGGCUCGUAAAACUCUGUUGUUAAAGAAGAACACCUUUGAGAGUAACUGUUCAAGGGUUGACGGUAUUUAACCAGAAAGCCACGGCUAACUACGUGCCAGCAGCCGCGGUAAUACGUAGGUGGCAAGCGUUGUCCGGAUUUAUUGGGCGUAAAGCGAGCGCAGGCGGUUUUUUAAGUCUGAUGUGAAAGCCUUCGGCUUAACCGGAGAAGUGCAUCGGAAACUGGGAGACUUGAGUGCAGAAGAGGACAGUGGAACUCCAUGUGUAGCGGUGGAAUGCGUAGAUAUAUGGAAGAACACCAGUGGCGAAGGCGGCUGUCUAGUCUGUAACUGACGCUGAGGCUCGAAAGCAUGGGUAGCGAACAGGAUUAGAUACCCUGGUAGUCCAUGCCGUAAACGAUGAGUGCUAAGUGUUGGAGGGUUUCCGCCCUUCAGUGCUGCAGCUAACGCAUUAAGCACUCCGCCUGGGGAGUACGACCGCAAGGUUGAAACUCAAGGAAUUGACGGGGCCCGCACAAGCGGUGGAGCAUGUGGUUAAUUCGAAGCUACGCGAAGAACCUUACCAGGUCUUGACAUCUCUGCCAAUCUAGAGAUAGACGUUCCUUCGGGACAGAAUGACAGUGUGCAUGCUGUCGUCAGCCUCGUGUCGUGAGAUGUUGGCUAGUCCCGCACCGA
RNAcentral lists this ribosomal RNA (810 nucleotides) under Levilactobacillus brevis. Its description in RNAcentral is "bacterial SSU rRNA". It matches the Rfam family "Bacterial small subunit ribosomal RNA", at positions 282 to 1095 of the family's 1533-position model. The record is from RNAcentral. Lineage: Bacteria; Bacillati; Bacillota; Bacilli; Lactobacillales; Lactobacillaceae.